AUUGAACGCUGGCGGAAUGCUUUACACAUGCAAGUCGAACGGCAGCACGGGGCAACCUGGUGGCGAGUGGCGAACGGGUGAGUAAUACAUCGGAACGUGCCCAAUCGUGGGGGAUAACGUAGCGAAAGUUACGCUAAUACCGCAUACGAUCUACGGAUGAAAGCGGGGGAUCGCAAGACCUCGCGCGAAUGGAGCGGCCGAUGUCAGAUUAGGUAGUUGGUGGGGUAAAGGCUCACCAAGCCAACGAUCUGUAGCUGGUCUGAGAGGACGACCAGCCACACUGGGACUGAGACACGGCCCAGACUCCUACGGGAGGCAGCAGUGGGGAAUUUUGGACAAUGGGCGCAAGCCUGAUCCAGCCAUUCCGCGUGCAGGAUGAAGGCCUUCGGUGUAAACUGCUUUGUUACGGAACGAAACGGUUACGUCUCUAA
This 431-nucleotide ribosomal RNA is filed under the name uncultured bacterium. Its description in RNAcentral is "bacterial SSU rRNA". It matches the Rfam family "Bacterial small subunit ribosomal RNA", at positions 30 to 465 of the family's 1533-position model. The record is from RNAcentral.